RNAcentral lists this long non-coding RNA (327 nucleotides) under Mustela putorius furo (domestic ferret). Its description in RNAcentral is "lncRNA (ENSMPUG00000029308.1)". The record is from RNAcentral. Lineage: Eukaryota; Metazoa; Chordata; Mammalia; Carnivora; Mustelidae.
GUUUGCUAAUAAUCUCUAGGACUGUAAAUUCCAGUGAGAACCUUAAACAUAGAGCUUAGAGUCCCAUUCUAUUAUGCCUGGUGGAAACCACUCUGGAAUUCUGAGGCCAGGUUGGAUCAGACACAUUGAGUAGGGCAUAGGAAACUGGGGCAGACCCACAAGUGACAAAGAAUGGUGAAAGAAAGGGACAGUGGGAUCUGAAGAAUGGUACUCUAUCUCCUGGAUGAAAGAGGCUUGAGAAGAGGCACAAAGACCAUCUUUAAAUAUCCAAGUGGCUAUCAUGUGGAAGCUAGUGGUGUGGCUGCAAGAGACCCAAGUGGCUUGUGA